Molecule: long non-coding RNA, 517 nt
Organism: Drosophila busckii
Lineage: Eukaryota; Metazoa; Arthropoda; Insecta; Diptera; Drosophilidae
Exons: 4
Source: RefSeq, a predicted model, not a curated record
UCGAAAUAAAAUGAAAAUAGCUGUUUGUAAUAUCCAAUCAAUCAAUAUUGGCGGAUAAGAAGUCAACAGGAUCAAUAAGAAACUUAAUAAAUGAUUUUAGCUAAAUAUUUGACAAAUAUGAAGGAAUUUAUAUGCCAGGAGCGAGCUAUCUGCUUUCGGCGCAGCUGUGGCGAUGGUUACACAGCAGAGAAUAAUCGAUAUGGACCAAAGACAAAAGGAUGAAAUAACUAAAUAAAUGAUUUCCAUUAAAAUAGCAAUGGAAACUCAUGACAAGAGCUGCUGCUCAGCGAUGGACCAAAGAUGACCCGAGAAGGAAUCUUUAAAGCUUAGCCAUUUUGGAACGCCAGUUUUCUUAAACGUAUACAUAUAUGCCAACUGGAUUGGGUUUUUAAUAAAUAUAUGUUUAUUUUGAGCAACAAUGUUUUUAAUACGGGAUGCCUGCAAAGCUGGCGGAAAUAAAGCAAACAAUGCUGCCCACAAUAAACGCACGGAAUGCAACGGCAGUGAUGUCAUUACG